Molecule: ribosomal RNA, 253 nt
Filed under: uncultured bacterium
Lineage: Bacteria
Description: partial 16S ribosomal RNA
Rfam family: Bacterial small subunit ribosomal RNA
Source: RNAcentral
UACGAAGGGUGCAAGCGUUAAUCGGAAUUACUGGGCGUAAAGCGUGCGUAGAUGGUUUGUUAAGUCGGAUGUGAAAGCCCCGGGCUCAACCUGGGAACUGCAUCUGAUACUGGCAGACUAGAGUGUGGUAGAGGGUGGCGGAAUUCCCGGUGUAGCGGUGAAAUGCGUAGAGAUCGGGAGGAACAUCCGUGGCGAAGGCGGCCAUCUGGACCAACACUGACGUUGAGGCACGAAAGCGUGGGGAGCAAACAGG